GGAGGGGGCUAGCGUUGUUCGGAUUUACUGGGCGUAAAGGGCGCGUAGGCGGUAUGCCAUGUCAGGGGUGAAAGGCCUGGGCUCAACCCAGGAACUGCCUUUGAAACUGGCAAACUAGAGUCCGAUAGAGGAUGGCGGAAUUCCCAGUGUAGAGGUGAAAUUCGUAGAUAUUGGGAAGAACACCAGUGGCGAAGGCGGCCAUCUGGAUCGGCACUGACGCUGAGGCGCGAAAGCGUGGGGAGCAAACAGGGAUUAGAUACCCUGGUAGUCCACGCCGUAAACGAUGUGUGCUAGACGUUGGGGGGCCUUAGGCCCCUGGGUGUCGCAGCUAACGCAUUAAGCACACCGCCUGGGGAUACGGCCGCAAGGUUA
Molecule: ribosomal RNA, 372 nt
Filed under: uncultured organism
Description: partial 16S ribosomal RNA
Rfam family: Bacterial small subunit ribosomal RNA
Source: RNAcentral